RNAcentral lists this unclassified non-coding RNA (249 nucleotides) under air metagenome. RNAcentral describes it as "partial contains small subunit ribosomal RNA, internal transcribed spacer 1, and 5.8S ribosomal RNA". The stretch from base 1 to 46 matches the Rfam family "Eukaryotic small subunit ribosomal RNA", at positions 1786 to 1831 of the family's 1831-position model. The record is from RNAcentral.
AAGUCGUAACAAGGUCUCCGUUGGUGAACCAGCGGAGGGAUCAUUACUGAGUUUUCUAAACUCCCAAACCCUUGAGAACAUACCUCGGUUGCCUCGGCGGAAGCGUCGCCCUGGGAUGGCCUACCCUGUAGCGCCUUACCCUGGGCGGCGCCCCCCGCCGGUGGUCUUCUAAACUCUGUUUUAUUGUGUCACUUCUGAGGAUUAUUAUAAAAUUAGUUAAAACUUUCAACAACGGAUCUCUUGGUUCUG